GGAAAAACGUACUUGGAUGCAUUAGAACAGAAGAAUUGUUCUUACCGGCUAAGCUCUGGAAUUGAGGAUAUGUCUGAGGAAUAUGAUGAGCGAAGCCCAUUUGGGUGUCGUCUGUCUUAGACAAAAGCCAGAAGCAGAAUCAGUGCACUCAGCAUCACCGUUUCGCAACACAGUGGCUCCUCCAUCCCUGACCGUCUCCAGGAGGGUCCUCUACCUAUAAUGAGGCUCAUUCUGAAGAAAGGAAGAGAGGCCCGUGGGCCCCCUGCCACCGAUGUCUGCGUC
RNAcentral lists this long non-coding RNA (282 nucleotides) under Crocodylus porosus (Australian saltwater crocodile). RNAcentral's name for it is "lncRNA (ENSCPRG00005002129.1)". Lineage: Eukaryota; Metazoa; Chordata; Crocodylia; Crocodylidae. The record is from RNAcentral.